AGAGUUUGAUCCUGGCUCAGAAUGAACGCUGGCGGCGUGCUUAACACAUGCAAGUCGUACGAGAACGCUUCAGCUUGCUGAAGCUAGUAAAGUGGCGUACGGGUGAGUAACGCGUGGGUAAUCUACCUUCGAAUUGGGGAUAACGUUGCGAAAGUGACGCUAAUACCGGAUGAUAUCAUAGAGACCUUGGUUUUUAUGAUCAAAGAUGGCCUCUCCUUGGAAGCUAUUGUUUGGAGAUGAGCCCGCGUCCCAUUAGCUUGUUGGUGGGGUAAUGGCCUACCAAGGCAACGAUGGGUAGCUGGUCUGAGAGGAUGAUCAGCCACACUGGAACUGACACACGGUCCAGACUCCUACGGGAGGCAGCAGUGAGGAAUUUUGCGCAAUGGGGGAAACCCUGACGCAGCAACGCCGCGUGAGUGAUGAAGGCUUUCGGGUCGUAAAGCUCUGUCAAGUGGGAAGAACUCCCGUGAGGUUAAUACCCUCAUGGUUUGACGGUACACUGAAGGAAGCACCGGCUAACUCCGUGCCAGCAGCCGCGGUAAUACGGGGGGUGCAAGCGUUAUUCGGAUUUACUGGGCGUAAAGCGCGCGUAGGCGGCCGUUUAAGUCAGAUGUGAAAGCCCGGGGCUCAACCCCGGAAGUGCAUUUGAUACUAUUCGGCUUGAGUAUGGGAGAGGGAAGUGGAAUUCCUGGUGUAGAGGUGAAAUUCGUAGAUAUCAGGAGGAACACCGGUGGCGAAGGCGACUUCCUGGACCAAUACUGACGCUGAGGCGCGAAGGCGUGGGUAGCAAACAGGAUUAGAUACCCUGGUAGUCCACGCAGUAAACGGUGAUCACUAGGUGUAGCGGGUAUUGACCCCUGCUGUGCCGCAGCUAACGCAUUAAGUGAUCCGCCUGGGGAGUACGGCCGCAAGGUUAAAACUCAAAGGAAUUGACGGGGGCCCGCACAAGCGGUGGAGCAUGUGGUUUAAUUCGACGCAACGCGAAGAACCUUACCUGGAUUUGACAUCUCGGGAAUUUCUAUGAAAGUAGGAAGUGCCCUUCGGGGAGCCCGAUGACAGGUGCUGCAUGGCUGUCGUCAGCUCGUGUCGUGAGAUGUUGGGUUAAGUCCCGCAACGAGCGCAACCCCUAUCUUUAGUUACCAGCACUUCGGGUGGGGACUCUAAAGAUACUGCCCCGGUCAACGGGGAGGAAGGUGGGGAUGACGUCAAGUCCUCAUGGCCUUUAUGUCCGGGGCUACACACGUGCUACAAUGGGCAGUACAGAGGGUCGCGAC
RNAcentral lists this ribosomal RNA (1274 nucleotides) under metagenome. RNAcentral describes it as "bacterial SSU rRNA". It matches the Rfam family "Bacterial small subunit ribosomal RNA", at positions 8 to 1253 of the family's 1533-position model. The record is from RNAcentral.